RNAcentral lists this ribosomal RNA (358 nucleotides) under uncultured bacterium. Its description in RNAcentral is "partial 16S ribosomal RNA". It matches the Rfam family "Bacterial small subunit ribosomal RNA", at positions 338 to 695 of the family's 1533-position model. The record is from RNAcentral.
CCUACGGGAGGCAGCAGUGAGGAAUAUUGGUCAAUGGGCGAGAGCCUGAACCAGCCAAGUCGCGUGAGGGAGUACUGCCCUAUGGGUUGUAAACCUCUUUUGUCGGGGAGCAAAAGCCGGACGUUUCCGGCUGUGAGAUUACCCGAAGAAAAAGCAUCGGCUAACUCCGUGCGAGCAGCCGCGGUAAUACGGAGGAUGCGAGCGUUAUCCGGAUUUAGUGGGUUUAAAGGGUGCGCAGGCGGAUUUUUAAGUCAGCGGUCAAAUCGUGGGGCUCAACCCCAUCCAGCCGUUGAAACUGGGGAUCUAGGGUGGGCGAGAGGUAUGCGGAAUGCGUGGUGUAGCGGUGAAAUGCAUAGAU